This 476-nucleotide ribosomal RNA is filed under the name Staphylococcus epidermidis. Its description in RNAcentral is "bacterial SSU rRNA". It matches the Rfam family "Bacterial small subunit ribosomal RNA", at positions 18 to 478 of the family's 1533-position model. Lineage: Bacteria; Bacillati; Bacillota; Bacilli; Caryophanales; Staphylococcaceae. The record is from RNAcentral.
CCUGGCUCAGGAUGAACGCUGGCGGCGUGCCUAAUACAUGCAAGUCGAGCGAACAGACGAGGAGCUUGCUCCUCUGACGUUAGCGGCGGACGGGUGAGUAACACGUGGAUAACCUACCUAUAAGACUGGGAUAACUUCGGGAAACCGGAGCUAAUACCGGAUAAUAUAUUGAACCGCAUGGUUCAAUAGUGAAAGACGGUUUUGCUGUCACUUAUAGAUGGAUCCGCGCCGCAUUAGCUAGUUGGUAAGGUAACGGCUUACCAAGGCAACGAUGCGUAGCCGACCUGAGAGGGUGAUCGGCCACACUGGAACUGAGACACGGUCCAGACUCCUACGGGAGGCAGCAGUAGGGAAUCUUCCGCAAUGGGCGAAAGCCUGACGGAGCAACGCCGCGUGAGUGAUGAAGGUCUUCGGAUCGUAAAACUCUGUUAUUAGGGAAGAACAAAUGUGUAAGUAACUAUGCACUCUGACGUCCC